UAGGGGAUCUGGGAGGAUGACCCCCCACACUGGUACUGAGACACGGACCAGACUCCUACGGGAGGCAGCAGUAAGGAAUAUUGGUCAAUGGAGGCAACUCUGAACCAGCCAUGCCGCGUGCAGGAAGACAGCCCUCUGGGUCGUAAACUGCUUUUAUUCGGGAAUAAACCUAUUUACGUGUAGAUAGCUGAAUGUACCGAAGGAAUAAGGAUCGGCUAACUCCGUGCCAGCAGCCGCGGUAAUACGGAGGAUCCAAGCGUUAUCCGGAUUUAUUGGGUUUAAAGGGUGCGUAGGCGGCUUAUUAAGUCAGGGGUGAAAGACGGUGGCUCAACCAUCGCAGUGCCUUUGAUACUGAUGAGCUUGAAUGAACUAGAGGUAGGCGGAAUGUGACAAGUAGCGGUGAAAUGCAUAGAUAUGUCACAGAACACCGAUUGCGAAGGCAGCUUACUAUGGUUUUAUUGACGCUGAGGCACGAAAGCGUGGGGAUCAAACAGGAUUAGAUACCCUGGUAGUCCACGCCCUAAACGAUGAAUACUCGCUGUUAGCGAUAUACAGUUAGCGGCUAAGCGAAAGCGUUAAGUAUUCCACCUGGGGAGUACGCCCGCAAGGGUGAAACUCAAAGGAAUUGACGGGGGCCCGCACAAGCGGAGGAGCAUGUGGUUUAAUUCGAUGAUACGCGAGGAACCUUACCCGGGCUUGAAAGUUAGUGAAUGAUCUAGAGAUAGAUCAGUGAGCAAUCACACGAAACUAGGUGCUGCAUGGCUGUCGUCAGCUCGUGCCGUGAGGUGUUGGGUUAAGUCCCGCAACGAGCGCAACCCCUAUGUUUAGUUGCCAGCACGUUAAGGUGGGGACUCUAAACAGACUGCCUGUGCAAACAGAGAGGAAGGAGGGGACGACGUCAAGUCAUCAUGGCCCUUACGUCCGGGGCUACACACGUGCUACAAUGGAUGGUACAGAGGGCAGCAAGCUGGCAACAGCAAGCAAAUCUCAAAAAGCCAUUCACAGUUCGGAUAGAGGUCUGCAACUCGACCUCUUGAAGUUGGAUUCGCUAGUAAUCGCGUAUCAGCAAUGACGCGGUGAAUACGUUCCCGGGCCUUGUACACACCGCCCGUCAAGCCAUGGAAGUUGGGGGUACCUAAAGUAUGUAACCGCAAGGAGCGUCCUAGGGUAAAACCGAUAACUUGGGCUAAGUCGUAACAAGGUA
RNAcentral lists this ribosomal RNA (1204 nucleotides) under metagenome. RNAcentral's name for it is "bacterial SSU rRNA". It matches the Rfam family "Bacterial small subunit ribosomal RNA", at positions 284 to 1498 of the family's 1533-position model. The record is from RNAcentral.